Molecule: ribosomal RNA, 447 nt
Filed under: uncultured bacterium
Lineage: Bacteria
Description: partial 16S ribosomal RNA
Rfam family: Bacterial small subunit ribosomal RNA
Source: RNAcentral
AACGAACGCUGGCGGCAUGCCUAACACAUGCAAGUCGAACGAUGCCUUCGGGCCUAGUGGCGCACGGGUGCGUAACGCGUGGGAAUCUGCCCUUGGCUUCGGAAUAACAGUUAGAACUGACUGCUAAUACCGGGUGAUGUCCCCCUGUGAGAUCUUGGGGCCCAAAGAAUUAUCGGCCAGGGAUGAGCCCGCGUAGGAGUAGGUAGUUGGUGGGGUAAAGGAGUACCAAGGCGACGAUCCUUAGCUGGUCUGAGAGGAUGAUCAGCCACAGUGGGACUGAGACACGGCCCAGACUGCUACGGGAGGCAGCAGUGGGGAAUAUUGGACAAUGGGGGGAACCCUGAUCGAGCGAUGCCGCGUGGGUGAUGAAGGCCUUAGGGUUGGAAAGCGCUUUUAUCAGGGAUGAUAAUGACAGUACCUGGAGAAUAAGCACCGGCUAACUCCGUG